This 491-nucleotide ribosomal RNA is filed under the name uncultured bacterium. RNAcentral describes it as "partial 16S ribosomal RNA". It matches the Rfam family "Bacterial small subunit ribosomal RNA", at positions 28 to 506 of the family's 1533-position model. The record is from RNAcentral.
GAUGAACGCUAGCUAUAGGCUUAACACAUACAAGUCGAGGGGAAACGGCAUUAUGUGCUUGCACAUUUUGGACGUCGACCGGCGCACGGGUGAGUAUCGCGUAUCCAACCUGCCCUUUACUUGGGGAUACCCCGUUGAAAGACGGCCUAAUACCCGAUGUAAUUCAUUGAUGGCAUCAGAUAUGAAUAAAAGAUUUAUCGGUAAAGGAUGGGGAUGCGUCUGAUUAGCUUGUUGGUGAGGUAACGGCUCACCAAGGCGACGAUCAGUAGGGGUUCUGAGAGGAAGGUCCCCCACAUUGGAACUGAGACACGGUCCAAACUCCUACGGGAGGCAGCAGUGAGGAAUAUUGGUCAAUGGGCGCAAGCCUGAACCAGCCAAGUAGCGUGCAGGAAGACGGCCCUAUGGGUUGUAAACUGCUUUUAUACGAGAAUAAUUUGAUGCACGUGUGCGUUAUGGCAUGUAUCGUAUGAAUAAGGACCGGCUAAUUCCGU